This 181-nucleotide unclassified non-coding RNA is filed under the name Ambisporaceae sp. RNAcentral's name for it is "partial contains 5.8S ribosomal RNA and internal transcribed spacer 2". The stretch from base 1 to 71 matches the Rfam family "5.8S ribosomal RNA", at positions 84 to 154 of the family's 154-position model. Lineage: Eukaryota; Fungi; Glomeromycota; Glomeromycetes; Archaeosporales; Ambisporaceae. The record is from RNAcentral.
GUGAAUCAUCGAAUUUUUGAACGCAUAUUGCACUCUCUGGUAUUCCAGAGAGUAUGCCUGUUUGAGGGUAAUUAUACAGACUAUUUAACCAAUUUUUUUGGUCAAAGGAUAUGAGUUCUCCGCGUAUAUAGCGGUAGCUUGAUAUAAAUGGUAAAGUCUCGUUUUAGUCGAGACGCGUAUU